This 1673-nucleotide long non-coding RNA is filed under the name Anser cygnoides (Swan goose). Its description in RNAcentral is "lncRNA (ENSACDG00005008985.1)". The record is from RNAcentral. Lineage: Eukaryota; Metazoa; Chordata; Aves; Anseriformes; Anatidae.
AUGACGCAGAAAGGUGCAGUUCUCAGCAGUGGAACUGGAAACGGUGGAGAGGGGGCAGCAGAGGAGGCGACACCAGAGGUGGACAGCCUCCACGCUGUCACUGAAAGAAGGACACAGACCACUUCCAAGGAGUUGUCUUCUCCAGGCUACAAGACCAGGCUCCUGGUUUCAGCGACAAGGAUGAGGGAUAGUCCCAGUGCAGAGCAGCUUCUGCCCUGGGUAGGCAAAGAAAUGAGACCUGCGGUUUGUCACCCUCCUGGGCUCAGGGAAGCCUAUAGCCUUACCUCCUGGUCCUAACGGGGACACCUGCACAGUGGGAUGUGAUUCUGCUCCGCAAGAUGGCAGAAAUCCCACCAGUGCUACUUUAAUGAGAAUGAAAUGGCAAGCUGCUGACUCAUCGCUUAUAUUAAAUAUUUUAAAACAGUUGACUGUGUGAGCUAAUCCUGCUAUAUUACGUGUGGGAAAACUGGAGGUAUGUGAGCAUACAGCAGUUAUGCAUUUGAACUUACCAGCCCCUGCAUCAGGCAAAGAACAGAAAGUACAGAGUUCAUCUCCUGAAGCCCUAGAGUUUGUUAUUAUUGCUGGGUUUUAAUGUUCUCUGUGGUCAGAUAAUGGCCUAAAUGUUCAAAAGUGACUAGAAAUGUUUGAUGUCCCAUUGCCUCAGUACUCAGUGUGAGAAUUCUUGAUAUGUGCUGGUUUUCAAAAAAAAGCACUGAGGUGUGUCUUCAGCAUUGGAUCAAAGAGGAACGCUUCGGUCUGAGUACCAUAACAUUAAUUCACCCUAAAUCACCAGUAACGCCUGCACUUUUAAUUUAUAGUUCAUCUGUUCAUGAACCCAGGUAUGUAUAAAAGAAGGCACUAUCCAAAUUCACUGCUGUGAAUUCACUGCACGCUGCUCCACCCUGAGACAUGCCACAUGGCAGGCUGGGAGGUGUUGAUGCUGAGGGCUGUCAUGACAAGCAGCACCUGGAUAAGCUGCUCUGUGGAAACAAAACACAGACACAGGUUAACCUGCCAUUUGAAAAGGGGGAAAAUGGGUGAAAUCCUGGGAAACAUAUUUAGAUGGAAUUGAUCCAUCUCCAGCCUCUUCUUCAGGCUGUGAGCUCAGGUCUCUGGGUUUGUUUCCAAAGGAGAUCCCCAGCAAAAGGAUGGGUAUGGUGAGUGUAGAUCACAAGCCUUUAUAUACACUGCUGUUUUUUUUUUUUUCUUUUUUUUUUUUUUUCCUGGAGGUUUGAGCUAUCACCUUCAGAUCAACAAUGCCUUAGUAUAACUGAGAAAGCUUAAAUCAUGACCAUGCAAGAGGACUGCAGCUUUGCUUGUAAAUGGGAAGGAGACAGAUGUCUUUUAUUAAUUUCAACACCAGCUUCGCUGAAACGGAUGCAAGAACUAGAGAAAGGCUUGAAAUAUUCUUUGAGAGGUUUCCCCUUUGAGGAUGAAGCUUAACAAUUAGCAGGGCUGUGGCUUUCACAUUUUAGGCAGAGAUUUUCAGGGGUAUUUAAUGGACUUUAGCAGCCAAGCCUUUCAAUCUGCUGGAUGCUAGGCAAUAGGACUCAUUUAACCUCCCCUGUCCAGGUGCAAGUAAGAGAGCAAAUACACGUUGGAAUAGUGCCUGUUGCAUUCCUCUUAGGCAACAUAAAGAUAGCAAUAAAUAAAAGUCCUAUGCUAAUGAAUCA